CCGGACAGCCGGGGAGCUAGGGGUGCCCUGUAAGCCAAAUCCCCUUUAGGGCUGGCGGCAACCUUGCCAGGCCGAGUGGGCCAAGCCCGAACGGUGCUACGCCGACGACGCUUUGACCCGCGUUACUCGUGCUGGAGCGAACCGAGCCAGGCCGGAAGGAGCAACUCUAAGCUGCAGGACGGGUGCUCGCGGGACCCAAGGCUGAGAAACGGGUGCUGCUGAAGGCGAAACCCAAUCGUUCGACCAAGGACGCCGG
Molecule: signal recognition particle RNA, 256 nt
Filed under: Candidatus Micrarchaeota archaeon CG1_02_55_22
Lineage: Archaea; Nanobdellati; Microcaldota
Description: signal recognition particle sRNA large type
Rfam family: Bacterial large signal recognition particle RNA
About the family: The signal recognition particle (SRP) is a universally conserved ribonucleoprotein involved in the co-translational targeting of proteins to membranes. Archaeal SRP consists of a 7S RNA and homologues of the eukaryotic SRP19 and SRP54 proteins. In most bacteria, the SRP consists of a 4.5S RNA and the Ffh protein (a homologue of the eukaryotic SRP54 protein).
Source: RNAcentral